This is a long non-coding RNA of Puntigrus tetrazona (Sumatra barb), 7508 nucleotides long. RefSeq lists it as uncharacterized. NCBI's taxonomy places the organism in Eukaryota, Metazoa, Chordata, Actinopteri, Cypriniformes, Cyprinidae. The record is from RefSeq and is a predicted model, not a curated record. The transcript has 2 exons.
GUAAGUCUGAGUCACUGCUAUUGGCAUACAGCAAUACCUCAUGCAAAUUGCAUUUUUUUUUUAUCAGUUUUUAUCGCCUCUCUCUCUCACUCGCACAGGUAUGUUCAUUUAAAAGGAUUGUGAUGAACAACCAUUGCGGCGACAGAGAUGAAUCAUACGGCCUGUAUAUCACUCCAUGUUUACUUCUAGAACGCGCCGCAGCAUCUAAUUACAUGGAUAAACACCCAAGAACGUUAACUAUGCAAACUUGGUACUCCGAUUUCACAGCGUUUGGAAAAUUAAAGGAAUAGUUCACCCAAAAAUGGAAAUGUGUCAUCAUUCACUCACCCACCACUUGUUCCAAACCUGUACGAGUUUCUUUCACAAAUCCAGAUAUUUUCAAUGUCAGUAACCCACAAGUGGCUACUUGCUACAGGAGAAAGAAACUCUACUACUAAAUGAAGACAGAAUGAAUGCCUUUAAAACAAAUGUAUGGGAGUUUUAAUGAGCUUCUGUUUCUUUUCCACACCAACGUCCGUGAGAAGCCUGGUGAGCGGGAACAGUCAAAAUGGCAGACUGCUUUACGGCAGCAACCAACGAACAUGCGCUGUCCACCUUAUAACACAUGCUGUGUGUUUGAUACUGAAAAUGGCAAGCGCUGCGAUAGAGCCAAAUAUGUUUGAGUCAGAUCUCGAGGAAGACGAAACAAGGCAACGACUGCAACAGUCUAAGCAUGGUAAUUGCUUUUGCUUGCUUAAUUGCUUCAUUUUUGGUAUAUAGUUUAAAAGGGACUAUUAUUAUUUGUCUUGUGACAAAAGAUGUACGCUGGGAUGUGCUGAUUAACACUUAUAAUUGAAAAACUUGGUGUACUACAAAAAUAACUGCAUUGCCUUUGAGGAAAAGUUUGGAGUUCUGAAACUUGCAGUACACCGUUUUUUUGUAGAGCAUUAUCUAAAUAUGUUUAAGCGUAGCAUGGGUGUAAAUAACGAGACUAUUUCGAUUCUCCAUUUUGUGACCACCUUUAAAAUCUAUGCUUUAUUUUUUUUUGGUUUUGUGCAUUUCCUAAAAUGCUGUCCCAUUCAUCUGCUGUUUGUUCUAUGGGACGUGGAGUGCAUUUAAUGUCGUUCUCAUCCAAUUCAGAAACCGAGGCCCAUUGCAGACAACGGCGGCGGCGACGGCGGCAUUCGGAGUGACAGACUUAACAACCAUUUUUGAGACUUAUCACACAACGAACAGCACUUACCAGUGCCCUAAAGCCUUUUGGGAUUGAGGAGGAGGUGGGAAAUCUGAACUUUUCUUGCGCCUUUAGACCCAUAAUGAAAGGCUUGUAGCGAUUUUCACGCGUGCCCAAAAUCAUUCUGAAUAUAUUAGUCAUCUCAUCUAGCAGGCCUACGUCUGCGCAAAUGUAGCUCGCCGGAAGGUCUCUGGUGUCUGGCUUUUGUUAAUGAACAAUUUUGGUUGAUUAAUUAUGAACAACUUGUUAAGCGCAUUGGUGACUCUAAAUUACAGGAGUAUUAGGUCUCCUUUUCUAAACACAUACAGCUGAUUUCCCUGUAGAAAUGAGAGGUGGUGUUCUUAAAAGUCGUAUGGGAUUUCUUUACUAAAACUGCAUGUUUGGUGUAGCGGCUGUUCAAUAAGUAUUACUGGAUUAAUGUGAUGCGAUGACAUGAGCACUGAGGAUUCAGCUCAGAAUCCAGCUUAAUAAUGAUUCAUGUAGCUAAUGGUUUUAUUUAAAGCAAUAAAUAAGUAAGCUUUUAAUAAUGGAACGCAAUUGUGACCACUGAUUAACUUAAUCUGUAAAUACAAUAAAAUUUAUAUACAUUUUAUAGCCAAAGUUUGCUUACCGAAGAGGGAGAAAUAGUUUAAAUGGGUAUUUUCUUGAAAAACAGCCACCAUUUGUAGUACAGAAUAAAGAUAAAGAUAUCAUAUUCGCCAAAUGGUCAUUUCUGUCAGUACAAACUGCUAAACACUACAUAAACCAAGCAAAGUGUGAAAAACUGUUUAAAAUAUCAUUCGUAUGACCCAUUCACAUAUCUGAUUUCAGCCAAAAGAAAAAUGUUGAUAUUAAUGUAUGUAUUGAUGACUGUGAUUUUUUUACUGGGUUAAUUUAAUAUGGCUCAUAAAAUGAGAUACAGACCGCUACAAAUACCUACAAAAAAGGAUGGACAACGUGUUCAAUUCAAGCAACAAAUCACUCUGCCCGUGGCCGCAGGAUUCACAAACAACUACGAGUCGCUCAUAUGAGCUGUUAUAUGAGUGAGACAUUGAUUCGUCUGAGAGGCGGAGGAUUGAUUGGGCAGUUGCGUCCUUACAGACUGAGAUAACGGUUUAACUACAGAAGGAGAGAGAGCAAUGGAGGUGAACAAAAGAUAUAUUAUAUUGCCGAGGCCACAAUGAGAUACUUGCAGUCUGGCUACCCUGGAGUGCUGAAUUUAUUUGACUUAGUGCCCCUUUUGAAAACAGCAAGCGUGUUAGCUUUCCUUUCAGGUACCUUAAAGUACAGCAAGGGCCCAAACCACUGAGCAAUCGUACAGUCCUGAAAAACAGAUUCUUUGGUUUUUCAGCAUCAUUUACAUACUUGGACCAAUUCCAACAACGACUGUAGGAUUUUGAGAUCCAUCUUUUCACACUGAAGGACUCAAACGCAACUAUUGCAAAAAGUGCAAACACUUAAUGAAAGGCGAUGCUUUAAGAGCGUGUUUCAUUUUGAACAGAAUGAAAGUGUACAUUUUUCUUAUUUUACCUAAAUAUCACUUUUUUUUUUGCUUCAUUUAGUACUGCACUUCAGAAGCCGCAUGCAUUUCUCCCACGAGACACUUCAAAUUUACACUGAUCUUGAAAAAGGUUUCACUUCCAGCAUCUCAAUGCAUAAUGCAUUUGUGUAACUUUGUUUGAACAGUUGCAUGUAAGUCCCUCGGUUGGAGGCCAUUCUUGGAACGCUUUUAAAUACGCAAUAAAUACUGGAAAACCAAAGGAUUUGCUGGACCUGAAGAUUUUUUUCCUGAAAAAAAUAAAUAAAUAAAAAAGUGGGACAAAUAAGGGACUCAUGCACAGCUAAUCACAAAUAAAUAAAAAUAAAUAAAAAAUAUUAAUAUUAAAAGGGAUAGUUCACCAAAAAAAAAAAAAUUUUGUCAAUAUUUACUCCCGCUCAUGUCAUUUCAAACCCAUUAUACUUUUGUUCAUCUUUAGAACACAAAUUAAGAUAUUUCUAAUGAAAUAACCCUACAUAGACAGGAACAGAUCUACCAAAAAGGUAAUAAGGUUAGGUAAUAGUAAGGUAAUAAUCACUGAAAUAGUAGUUUAACUGUAAUUUUAGGGAGCUACAAGAAUAGAGCAAAGAAAACAAAAAUAACAUAGCUUUAUAAAACGAUGGUUGAUGAACUAUCCCUUUAAGAAUCUGGCAGAAACUUUUGAAAAGGGCAAUUUUUAUUUUCUCUUGUGAACUAUGCAAGCGUCUUUUAUGUAAAAUGUAUUAUGCAGGUCAGUGCUAAAUAAAAAAAACAACAACAUGCAUUUUGCAUUACCCCUCUUAUUUUGGUAAAAUAUUCAACAUGUUGCAGAUACUGCGAAGUGUAUAUAAAAUUUUGACCACAGCUGUAAGCAUACAUUUUUUUUUUCAUCAUUUAGACGCACCGCAUUGAACAUAUAAAUAACACAUUCGCGUGAAUCUGGAAGUAAAGGCCCACGCGCGCGCGCAUCUUGCGUCUUUCCAGGGCUGCGGUGCGUUUGCAAGAGUUCAGUGGGUGUGCGACGACAAAACUCGGCUAAAACCUGACGUGCGUGAGAGAAAAAGCGAGUUAUUUUUGUUCGUAUUAUCGCUUGUCACACUGCCAAUGCGCAGCUCCUCAUAGCCAAAUCGAAGGCACUGAGGUAUGAAUGAAAAAGCGCAGUGCGCGCCGCUGCUUCAUUAGGUAUGCGCAAAGAUAACGAGCGGCACGGCAGCGCCUGGCCACUGUAACGUUCCGGGAGAGCAGAUACCCUAAGCCCCCAAACAAAUAAAGCCUUAAAUUCGACCUCCAAUCUUUAUUAUGGUAAUUUCUCUAAUGCAGAUUGGAACGUAAUUGGUAACAAUAUGUACACAGCCUAAUCUUUUUCUAGGCUGACAGUGACGAACUGGAGAUAAGCAUACAAAGAUGUCUGGUGAAAGAGGACAUUUAUAGGCCCCAUUAGCAUCUAUUUUUUGGUUUCUACAAAAUGUUUUUUGUAGAAGCUGUAUGAAGCUAAAGAAACGGUUCACCAAAAUAUACAAUUUCUGUUGUGAUUUACUCACCCGCAUGUCAUUCCCAAAAUCAGACCAUAACAUUUUUUUUUAAACACUGAACACGAAAAAAAUUCUCUCCCAAGUCUCUUUCAUAAAGCCAUAGAAGCCUACAAACUGUAAUAGCUUUUUUUGUGUGCAAACGGAACUAACUUUUUAUUAUUAUUUAAUGACAGAACACUUUGCGUCGCACCAGAGGUUUUUAUAGCGGAAUAAGGGUUUUCAAAUUAUUAAAAUGUUCUUCAGAAAAGAAACAAAAAUAGCUCUUUUGAAAGAUACUUUGGGGAAACCAGUGCGGUUCUUCAUAUGGCGUUGCUGCGAAAAAACCCUUUUGGAAGUUUUAUUUUUAAGGAUGUAUAAAUUGACAUGACUCUGAAUCUAAAUAGUGACAUUCAUUCAUGGGUUAUCCAUCUUUUAAAGUUUAGAAGAAUAAGACUUUGAGUCUGACCAGCCGCAUUCAGUGUGUUCGUUGUGUCUCAAAGUUAUUCAUACAUUUCCAUAAAGUAUUUUAUAGUAAGCUCCCAUGAGACCCAGUCUUUUUUUUUUGUAUGAAAAGAUACCGUGUGGAAGAGCUGCGAGGAAUGGUAGUGGAAGUGGUGAUGAUGAUGCAUGACAAUGGAGAUAAUGCAUCUUUAUGAUAAUAUGAAGGGUCUGCAUCUGUAUCUGUGUUAAGUAGCAAGAAACUUCCAUUUUUUUCUUCCCAUGCUGUGUAUUUAUAGAGCUUUGCUACUAUGACAAGCUGCCACUGAUGUAAAAUGUACCGUCAGGGUUGUAUGACGUAGUACACAAGUAGAAACCUUGCCGUUUUAGACAUUUCAUGUCAUUAUUAACAUCUGCAGCAACCUAAUGGAAGUUGAAUCAAUAAAAAGCGCAACCCUUUACUGAUUUAGCUGUCAAAAUCGGUGCGGUUUAAAAUGAUAAAUGCUACUUUUUCCAAGCUGUCAGACACCACAUUUAACUUUACGUGAAUGAAAACAAGGCUGAGAGAAAGAAGUACAGCCUGUUCAAUGGCUUGUACUUUUGUUCACCUUAGUGUCGAUCAUUCAGCUGCAAGAUGCAACAUUUAAAAUGUAUUUCAAGAACAUUUCCAAAACGACCAGUGGACAUGAAUUAAAAAAAAAAAAAGAAGAAAAAGAAAACAUGCAUUAUGAAAAUCAGAAACGAUAGGAGACGAUGUAUAUUUUUUCCACUUCUACAUUGAGUUGAAAAUGUUUUGGGGGUGACAAAACCAGAUUUGCUCAAGUUAGUUAACCUGGAUAUGGCUGAAAUUGAGUUGAAACUAAGUUGCAAUUAAAACUAAAAGUUUGACGUUUAAUCUCAAAAGUAAUAUUUUAAUAGACUGCAUUAGUGCCAGUUCACGUUUUUAACAGCACAGGUCCUGGAAUCAUUUUCACCUUAAAAGGUUUGAUUAAAAGUGUUGAAAUGAGUCACUAAGUAGUAAAUCACAGCAAUUAUAAAAAUGUUAAAUUACUGAUUAUCUAUGUAUAAAUUUCAAAAGUAUUUUAAUGUAUUGUGGUUGAGAGUUGCAAGAUGCAAAAGAAGCAUUAAAAACGUGAACCAUGAGAUCAAAUUGAAAUAAUCAGCUCCUCAACAAUACCUCAGUCCACAGAUUUGAAGGACGCUUAUUAGGAUCUACAAAGAUGAAUACAAAUUACUCGACUGCACUUUAUCUAAAAGUGAGCUCAUAACUUACAAGCGUUAAGAACUAAAAGAGCAACCAUACGAAACAAAGAGUUAGUUACAAACUAAACUAGUUCCUAAGCCAUACAGCGUGAACUUUCUGUCCCAAUUUAAGAAAGAGUUCACGAACAACUGGUACAAUACGUCUACCCUAGUGAGCACUAAUAAGCUCAAGUCUUAUAUCUAAGAAUAAAAGCUGGUACGCAUCCACACAUUUUGCGCCACUGUAGCAUUAGAUAUCACACAGUCAGCGAAUCUGUGAUCAUUUUCUCAAAGUACGUGUCCCAAUUUCUGUUCGCCACAAAGGCAGAUCCAGAGACGCGAUGUGUGUCAGUUGAAGAACUCAUCUCACUCAGUGUUUUUCCCGCCCCUAUUCUUCCCAUUACAGAUCAGCUGGAGGGCUGUAACGAUACAGUCAGCGCACGAUACAUUCGCUGACAUUUCCUUGCUGACCUCCUCCCACUCAUUCCACACAAAUUGGUGUUAUUGAAAUCUGAGCAAACUCGCGCAUUUCUCCGAUACAGACAACCUGUGCAACCUUGCAUAAUUGAAGCUGAUAAAUAUGUGAUUCCAACUAAGAAUAUUCAUCAACUCUGAGCACUUCUGAAAUGCACCUGGCAAGAGAACAAAUUUGCAUUUUCAUUCUUUAUCGGAAUAAAAUGUGAAUGCAUGUCAUUAGGCAGGAGAGAUGCAAUUACAGGGCGAAAGGAGAAAGUCCUCCCACACACAUUUUACCUUCCAGUGAGGCAUGUCAGAAUUAAUAAACCUGUGUCUGCAAAUGAAAAUCCUUGCUAAAAGCCUGGGACAGGUGACAUGCAGUUCCGCUCUUUUCAUUGCAAACUAGAUUCCAGUAAUUUAGUCCAUUUAGCGCUCCAAUUUCGUCACGCCAAAGUAAAAGUUGUCAUACGAAAAAGACUAAAUAGUCCAUUCUGCGUCAGCUUCCGUUAAAGCUGUGAAUGACCAGCAUUACCAGACGAUGACGUCUUCGGUAGAGCUAUCUAAACCUGUCCUGGCCAUCUUCACGUCUACAAUUGUGCCUGCCAUACGGAGCAAAAGCUGUAGAAUACGGGAGAAAAUGACUGUGCUUUUAAUGGCACAGAAAAGUGACAUUUAAUGCACUCAAAGACUCCAGAAGAAGCCAGAAGGUCACGCCGAGCCAGUGCGAACUGCUAACGGAAGGAACGUCUAAGGUUUUAAAUUGCACAAAUGAGUUGUAAUGCAAAGGGUCAAGGUCAAAAAAAAAAAAUCCCACAUUAGAUCUCACCGAGGGGAGAUGCAUUCAUCAAGACAGCCGAAGGGACAAACAUGCAAUGAGCUGCUGUCGAUGAAUGAAGAAUGAAAAAAAAAAAUCAACUACUACGAGGAAGAGCGUAAGAGAUAUAUUUCCUGUUUCAGAAGGAGAGAAACAGACAUGAAAGCAACAACAUGGCUGACAUCGCUGUGACUGGAUUAGAACGCGGAUAUUUUCCCUGUGCUGUACACUUCUAAGACGAAGGCUGUGAUAGACUUUGAAAUGUUUUUAUUUCUUCUGGUGCAAAUAUGGAAUAUGUACUCAAAUCACAAAGUGUGCACACUGUUGAGCCUGAAGGAA